Molecule: ribosomal RNA, 200 nt
Filed under: uncultured bacterium
Lineage: Bacteria
Description: partial 16S ribosomal RNA
Rfam family: Bacterial small subunit ribosomal RNA
Source: RNAcentral
AGAGUUUGAUCCUGGCUCAGGACGAACGCUGGCGGCGUGCCUAAUACAUGCAAGUCGAGCGGUCCCUUCGGGGAUAGCGGCGGACGGGUGAGUAACACGUAGGCAACCUGCCUGUAAGACUGGGAUAACUACCGGAAACGGUAGCUAAGACCGGAUAGGUGAUUUUCUCGCAUGAGAGGAUCAAGAAACAUGGGGCAACC